GAGAGUGAGUUUUAUUUGCACACACACACAUGUAUAUUUACACAAGGUCCUGGAGAUGAAGGAGAGUGAGUUUUAUUUGCACACACACACACACACACACACACACACAUGCACAUACAGAAAGAUAUAUUUACACACACACACACAAACA
Molecule: long non-coding RNA, 151 nt
Organism: Alosa sapidissima (American shad)
Lineage: Eukaryota; Metazoa; Chordata; Actinopteri; Clupeiformes; Clupeidae
Exons: 2
Source: RefSeq, a predicted model, not a curated record